RNAcentral lists this non-coding RNA (151 nucleotides) under unclassified sequences. Its description in RNAcentral is "DUF2800 RNA". It matches the Rfam family "DUF2800 RNA". From Rfam's summary of the family: Actinobacteria, Firmicutes, Synergistetes (1 example). Terminator (Clostridia) The record is from RNAcentral.
CCGUUUCAAUGUUCAUCGCCUGAUCAGCGGUGCCCAGAGCAGCGAAACGGACACAAAAUUACAGUCAACCCACUGGGAGCGGUUGGCCAUUUAAGAAGUGAGGAUUCAUUCUUAUGGCCAAUUAUUAUGGGAAGUCCUGCGUGGAUUCUCA